CCCUACGGGAGGCAGCAGUGAGGAAUAUUGGUCAAUGGACGAGAGUCUGAACCAGCCAAGUAGCGUGAAGGAUGAAGGUCUUACGGAUUGUAAACUUCUUUUAUAAGGGAAUAAACCCUCCCACGUGUGGGAGCUUGUAUGUACCUUAUGAAUAAGCAUCGGCUAACUCCGUGCCAGCAGCCGCGGUAAUACGGAGGAUGCGAGCGUUAUCCGGAUUUAUUGGGUUUAAAGGGAGCGCAGACGGGUCGCUAAGUCAGCUGUGAAAGUUUGGGGCUCAACCUUAAAAUUGCAGUUGAUACUGGCGUCCUUGAGUGCGGUUGAGGUGUGCGGAAUUCGUGGUGUAGCGGUGAAAUGCUUAGAUAUCACGAAGAACUCCGAUUGCGAAGGCAGCACACUAAUCCGUAACUGACGUUCAUGCUCGAAAGUGUGGGUAUCAAACAGGAUUAGAUACCCUGGUAGUCCACACGGUAAACGAUGGAUACUCGCUGUUGGCGAUAUACUGUCAGCGGCUUAGCGAAAGCGUU
RNAcentral lists this ribosomal RNA (524 nucleotides) under uncultured Bacteroidota bacterium. RNAcentral's name for it is "bacterial SSU rRNA". It matches the Rfam family "Bacterial small subunit ribosomal RNA", at positions 337 to 861 of the family's 1533-position model. Lineage: Bacteria; Pseudomonadati; Bacteroidota. The record is from RNAcentral.